AACGAACGCUGGCGGCAGGCUUAACACAUGCAAGUCGAACGCAUCGCAAGAUGAGUGGCAGACGGGUGAGUAGCGCGUGGGAACAUACCCUUUUCUACGGAAUAGCUCUGGGAAACUGGAAUUAAUACCGUAUACGCCCUACGGGGGAAAGAUUUAUCGGGGAAGGAUUGGCCCGCGUUGGAUCAGCUAGUUGGUGGGGUAAAGGCCUACCAAGGCGACGAUCCAUAGCUGGUAUGAGAGGAUGAUCAGCCACAUUGGGACUGAGACACGGCCCAAACUCCUACGGGAGGCAGCAGUGGGGAAUAUUGGACAAUGGGCGCAAGCCUGAUCCAGCCAUGCCGCGUGAGUGAUGAAGGCCUUAGGGUUGUAAAGCUCUUUCACCGAUGAAGAUAAUGACGGUAGUCGGAGAAGAAGCCCCGGCUAACUUCGUGCCAGCCGCCGCGGUAA
RNAcentral lists this ribosomal RNA (447 nucleotides) under uncultured bacterium. RNAcentral's name for it is "partial 16S ribosomal RNA". It matches the Rfam family "Bacterial small subunit ribosomal RNA", at positions 29 to 523 of the family's 1533-position model. The record is from RNAcentral.